RNAcentral lists this ribosomal RNA (2404 nucleotides) under Campylobacter coli. Its description in RNAcentral is "partial 23S ribosomal RNA". It matches the Rfam family "Bacterial large subunit ribosomal RNA", at positions 683 to 2925 of the family's 2925-position model. Lineage: Bacteria; Pseudomonadati; Campylobacterota; Epsilonproteobacteria; Campylobacterales; Campylobacteraceae. The record is from RNAcentral.
CUGAAUAGGGCGCUUAGUCAGAUGCUGCAGACCCGAAACGAAGUGAUCUAUCCAUGAGCAAGUUGAAGCUAGUGUAAGAACUAGUGGAGGACUGAACCCAUAGGCGUUGAAAAGCCCCGGGAUGACUUGUGGAUAGGGGUGAAAGGCCAAUCAAACUUCGUGAUAGCUGGUUCUCUCCGAAAUAUAUUUAGGUAUAGCGUUGUGUCGUAAUAUAAGGGGGUAGAGCACUGAAUGGGCUAGGGCAUACACCAAUGUACCAAACCCUAUCAAACUCCGAAUACCUUAUAUGUAAUCACAGCAGUCAGGCGGCGAGUGAUAAAAUCCGUCGUCAAGAGGGAAACAACCCAGACUACCAGCUAAGGUCCCUAAAUCUUACUUAAGUGGAAAACGAUGUGAAGUUACUUAAACAACCAGGAGGUUGGCUUAGAAGCAGCCAUCCUUUAAAGAAAGCGUAAUAGCUCACUGGUCUAGUGAUUUUGCGCGGAAAAUAUAACGGGGCUAAAGUAAGUACCGAAGCUGUAGACUUGCGCACAACUUAGAUUAUUUAAGUUUAGAAUAUGAGAAACUAAGUUAUAUGUUUAGUUAUAUUUUUACUGAUUUUUAUAGAGUAAAGAUAGAAAUAAAACUUAGUAAAAUCAGUAAAAAUAUUCUUAGACUAAAGUUAAGUAGUUUAAGUUGUGUGCAAGUGGUAGGAGAGCGUUCUAUUUGCGUCGAAGGUAUACCGGUAAGGAGUGCUGGAGCGAAUAGAAGUGAGCAUGCAGGCAUGAGUAGCGAUAAUUAAUGUGAGAAUCAUUAACGCCGUAAACCCAAGGUUUCCUACGCGAUGCUCGUCAUCGUAGGGUUAGUCGGGUCCUAAGUCGAGUCCGAAAGGGGUAGACGAUGGCAAAUUGGUUAAUAUUCCAAUACCAACAUUAGUGUGCGAUGGAAGGACGCUUAGGGCUAAGGGGGCUAGCGGAUGGAAGUGCUAGUCUAAGGUCGUAGGAGGUUAUACAGGCAAAUCCGUAUAACAAUACUCCGAGAACUGAAAGGCUUUUUGAAGUCUUCGGAUGGAUAGAAGAACCCCUGAUGCCGUCGAGCCAAGAAAAGUUUCUAAGUUUAGCUAAUGUUGCCCGUACCGUAAACCGACACAGGUGGGUGGGAUGAGUAUUCUAAGGCGCGUGGAAGAACUCUCUUUAAGGAACUCUGCAAAAUAGCACCGUAUCUUCGGUAUAAGGUGUGGUUCGCUUCGUAUUAGGAUUUACUCCGAAAGCGAAGAAACUUACAACAAAGAGUCCCUCCCGACUGUUUACCAAAAACACAGCACUCUGCUAACUCGUAAGAGGAUGUAUAGGGUGUGACGCCUGCCCGGUGCUCGAAGGUUAAUUGAUGGGGUUAGCAUUAGCGAAGCUCUUGAUCGAAGCCCGAGUAAACGGCGGCCGUAACUAUAACGGUCCUAAGGUAGCGAAAUUCCUUGUCGGUUAAAUACCGACCUGCAUGAAUGGCGUAACGAGAUGGGAGCUGUCUCAAAGAGGGAUCCAGUGAAAUUGUAGUGGAGGUGAAAAUUCCUCCUACCCGCGGCAAGACGGAAAGACCCCGUGGACCUUUACUACAGCUUGACACUGCUAUUUGGAUAAGAAUGUGCAGGAUAGGUGGGAGGCUUUGAGUAUAUGACGCCAGUUGUAUAUGAGCCAUUGUUGAGAUACCACUCUUUCUUAUUUGGGUAGCUAACCAGCUUGAGUUAUCCUCAAGUGGGACAAUGUCUGGUGGGUAGUUUGACUGGGGCGGUCGCCUCCCAAAUAAUAACGGAGGCUUACAAAGGUUGGCUCAGAACGGUUGGAAAUCGUUCGUAGAGUAUAAAGGUAUAAGCCAGCUUAACUGCAAGACAUACAAGUCAAGCAGAGACGAAAGUCGGUCUUAGUGAUCCGGUGGUUCUGUGUGGAAGGGCCAUCGCUCAAAGGAUAAAAGGUACCCCGGGGAUAACAGGCUGAUCUCCCCCAAGAGCUCACAUCGACGGGGAGGUUUGGCACCUCGAUGUCGGCUCAUCGCAUCCUGGGGCUGGAGCAGGUCCCAAGGGUAUGGCUGUUCGCCAUUUAAAGCGGUACGCGAGCUGGGUUCAGAACGUCGUGAGACAGUUCGGUCCCUAUCUGCCGUGGGCGUAAGAAGAUUGAAGAGAUUUGACCCUAGUACGAGAGGACCGGGUUGAACAAACCACUGGUGUAGCUGUUGUUCUGCCAAGAGCAUCGCAGCGUAGCUAAGUUUGGAAAGGAUAAACGCUGAAAGCAUCUAAGCGUGAAGCCAACUCUAAGAUGAAUCUUCUCUAAGCUCUCUAGAAGACUACUAGUUUGAUAGGCUGGGUGUGUAAUGGAUGAAAGUCCUUUAGCUGACCAGUACUAAUAGAGCGUUUGGCUUAUCUUUAAUAAAGCAU